ACCAAAGGAGAUAAGCUUCCUCAUCUGCGUUUUGAGUGCAAGCACAUGCUGAAAGUGGGAGGAGGGUUUUGCUGAGAUGACAGAAGCAUAUGUGCAGAUAAUGUCUAUUCUUGCAUCUAGCUCUCUUCUGCAAAAUACCAGUGAUCAAGAAGAUACUGGAGCUUGCAUUGUAGAUUGUUACAUUUAUGGAAUUGAGAACAAGGAUAAAAAUGUAAGUAAAAUGAUAAAAAAGUCAAGAAGGGGAGAGAGCAAAGACCUGCUUACGAGCCUUUACCUUGAAGACAUGGCCAUGCAUGCCAGAGGGGUGAAAGGAAUCCCUUGGAGAAGGCAGGAUGGCAAGAAGCCCUCUUCAACCUCUGGAUGUUCAGCACACAAAUCCCUGAGAAGGCCAGGAUUUCUUGAGAAUACUUUCUUCCAUUAAUUUUUACAGCAAAUAAAGUAGUUGAAGAACGUGGAAA
Molecule: long non-coding RNA, 458 nt
Organism: Pipra filicauda (Wire-tailed manakin)
Lineage: Eukaryota; Metazoa; Chordata; Aves; Passeriformes; Pipridae
Exons: 2
Source: RefSeq, a predicted model, not a curated record